This 2790-nucleotide unclassified non-coding RNA is filed under the name Hevea brasiliensis (rubber tree). The record is from RNAcentral. Lineage: Eukaryota; Viridiplantae; Streptophyta; Magnoliopsida; Malpighiales; Euphorbiaceae.
GACAAAACGUCCGGUGGGAUUAUGUCUUGUUCUGUUCAAUCCUUCAAACUAAAUAAUCUUCUGUUUCCAAGGAAAAGAAACUUCAUCGAAAUUAAAACAGGAAAAACACAAAGAAAAUAGGCUCCUCACCCUUGACAAAAUGGCAACAAAUUUUCCAAACACUCCCAUUAGCAGCAAUGUCCAACACCUCUGAAUUUCAAAUUGAUAACAGACUAGACAAAACAGAACACAGACAUUGUCAUAAUGAGCAAACACUCAACAAAACUAAUUUUGCAGAAACCUAAGGAGCAAACACCUUGAAGCUUCGUUGAGGCACCCUUUUGAAUAUAGCUUUUGUAAGAUCGGAAUAGAGGGAGAGGUGUCCCAGAGCGAAAAGGGUCACUGGCAAGCAUGUUACACCAUAUAUUGGGUAUGUAGCAUAUCUCAAUUUUUCUUGGAGAACAAAGAAAUGGCCUGCACUGAAUGACACCAGCAUGAAAGCUAUGGAUGAGAAGAGCGAAGUUAAUCCAAGAAGGAGCUUGUUUGGCAACUCACUGGCAAAAUCCUUUUCGUCAAAUCGAGAGGUGAGAAUUGAAAGAAAGAACACAAGGGCUGUCACCGAACAGCAGAGAGCAACAACUGAUGAGAUAGCGAAGACGGUGAAUGGAGCUUCAUCUGCAAAAUUUGGUUCACCGUUAUUUUCAUUGAAACUGCCUGGUAUAGUUGUUGAUGUUGCAAAUGCAACCGUUGCUAUAAGUGCUGCAACGACAGAACAGGCCUCUGAGGUUUUGGUUAACCAUUCUCUGCCAUUUUUAGCGAGCUCCUUGUGUGUUUCCAUGAAUAUUUGCUUUGCAGUUAGACCUUUCUUAUCAUAUCGAGCAAAAAAAUUUCGUGGCUUUGAUUUCUUAACAAACUGCUCGAGACAAUACAGUGUAAUUAGUCUCAAAUAGAACCAUCUUAAAUAUAAAUACUCAGUUUCCCGGAAGAAUAGCAUUUGAAGUUCUGAAAUCUCCUUUGAGAAAAGACAAGUAAGAAACAGAAGGCAACAGAUAGAAAAUACCUUGUACCACUUGUAUUCCCAUUGCAUUUGUAAGGCAGCUCCUGGAAUGAGCCAAGGCUUGUAAUCUCCAAAUUUUGCAGCAAGGUGCAAUGCACUGUUUCCAUCUUUAUCCACUUGGCAGAAGAUGAUAUCCUUUGGUACUGCCUUCUUCAUCAACAUGGUAUAAACUUGGGUCUGCCUGUGCUCUACUGCCAAGAGCACAACAUUUUUUUUAUCAGAGUCCACAUCCAUCAUAGCCACAGGAAAUGUGUCCAGGAUUUUCUCCACCAUCUCUCUUAUCCCCAUCCUAGCUGCAGUUAGUAUAGCUGUUUCCUUCUUCACCUCUCGAUCACAAGUCUCAGGUGGCUGGGAAAUUCCAUUUUCGCCUGACCCAGUUCUAGCAGGCUCCUUGCCAUUGUCUUUGUAUUUGUAAUUAGAAGCAUGCUGAACCAGUUGGUUCAUGACCUGAGUAGCCCUUUUGUGUAUCUCUUUCUUCUCUUUAAUCUUCCUUAUCCUUGAAAACCCCAGUCCCAGAAUCACCAUAAUGGCGGUCAUCACGAGCUUGAAAAGAACAACUGGUGUUACAUAAUUAGGAGGGAAAACAUCCUCUUGCCCUGCCUUCUCUGUUAGGCCAGUUCCACUGUUUGCAAUUGAUCUAUUUGUUGCGGUUGAAUCUUCUAUUUCUAUAUCUGCGUUUGAUUUGCAUUUUACUGUGGAUGAUGAUGAUCCCGCUGUGCCUGCCCCUAAACCCCUUCUCUGGCUGGGAUUCUCCAGAUCACUUCCGUUGCAAUUUCUGCUUUGGCUGUUGGCUAGAAGGGGACCUCCAAAUAAUUUUUUCAACAGUACCAAUGACAUAUGAAGGAACCACUCCAUCAUUCCAAUGAAGCUCAUGCAAGUUCCAUAAUUAGGUGGGCAACGGCAAUAAGUUUCGAUUCCUGAAGCUCGACUGUCUUUUUCUGCCGCCUCCUUGGGCUUACCAACAAUAAUGCAAUUGUAGAUGGCAGUAUCAAAUAGCCCAAGGCGACUGCUGCUUUUGAAUGCAUGUGGCUUACUUGCCAGAAUAUUGAGAGGAACCUCACCACUCCGAUUUCUAUAGUCCAUUAGUUCUGGGUAAUCUUUCAUUAUCUUCAACGCCAAGUCAAAGUUUUCUCCAAUGAUGGCAGAGUGAAGGAUGGUAUUACCAUCGUUGUCUCUAAUUCUGAAUGCUGUAUUAAAACCCACAAUUCCCUUGCUAAAUUCCUGUAGACAAAUGAAGGCUUCCAUCUUUCCACGAGAGACUGCCAAGAAGAGAGGAGUCUUACCCUCCUCAUUCCGAUCACUAAUAAGCUGCGCGGACUUGGAAGCCAUGCAAUCACACACUUUUACGUUCCCAAUCUCCGCUGCUAUGUGGAGAGCGGUGUUGCCUCUCUUAUUCUUUAAACCCAGGACGGUUGAUGCAUUUUCUCUUAUUGUUUCCACAAGUUGGGAUACAAUUUCCGUUUGACCAGUUUCAACAGCUAUGUGCAGAGCUGUGUCCUCUGAAUCUGUGAUCUUGGUUGUUUGAUUUCUGGGAUUAUUCUGAUAGGCUUCAACUAUUUUACUCCACUGCCCAUUCAUGGCAUAUUCAAAUAAUUCAUCUGUAUUUACUUCUGAUGAACUCAUCAUAUCUGUUCAAAAGGCUUGGGAUGUUUAUGAGAUUUCAAGUUGAAGUGUUAAUGAUCAAUAUAUACUGAUAAAGAUUGAGCUUUCACUGCAGAGAGAAUAAUUAAUCGUUCCUUUUCUUUAUCUUUUCA